RNAcentral lists this ribosomal RNA (529 nucleotides) under uncultured bacterium. RNAcentral's name for it is "bacterial SSU rRNA". It matches the Rfam family "Bacterial small subunit ribosomal RNA", at positions 777 to 1304 of the family's 1533-position model. The record is from RNAcentral.
AAUAGAUACCCAGGUAGUCCACGCCGUAAACGAUGAGUGCUAAGUGUUAGAGGGUUUCCGCCCUUUAGUGCUGCAGCUAACGCAUUAAGCACUCCGCCUGGGGAGUACGGCCGCAAGGCUGAAACUCAAAGGAAUUGACGGGGGCCCGCACAAGCGGUGGAGCAUGUGGUUUAAUUCGAAGCAACGCGAAGAACCUUACCAGGUCUUGACAUCCUCUGCCAACCCUAGAGAUAGGGCGUUCCCCUUCGGGGGACAGAGUGACAGGUGGUGCAUGGUUGUCGUCAGCUCGUGUCGUGAGAUGUUGGGUUAAGUCCCGCAACGAGCGCAACCCUUGAUCUUAGUUGCCAGCAUUCAGUUGGGCACUCUAAGGUGACUGCCGGUGACAAACCGGAGGAAGGUGGGGAUGACGUCGAAUCAUCAUGCCCCUUAUGACCUGGGCUACACACGUGCUACAAUGGAUGGUACAAAGAGCUGCGAACCCGCGAGGGUAAGCGAAUCUCAUAAAGCCAUUCUCAGUUCGGAUUGUAGG